GGGCGGGAGCGCGCCGUCCCGGUCACGUGGGCCCGCCCGCGGCUCGGUGCGCUCCCUUCGGCCUCAGUUUGGAAAAAAACUUCUGCGCUGGUGACGGCUUGAGUGUGUCAAUGCAGCCAGUGUGAGUUGUUCCUGUUAGUUACCGUGAGUUACCAAAGAGUCCUACAGUGUUAUCCUUCAGUGCCCACUUCAAGUCUCUCCUCUUUCAUGAAGGGCCUCUCAUUACAGAAUCAUCUGAAGAACAUGUCCUUGAAUUCCUAACUAGUGGUUUGCUGGAGACAGCCCCCCAUGCUGUGCCUCUGUGCUUCUCUUUCCAAUUCUGAGUCAAGGAACUUCAUAUUUGCGUCAAAGUGGGAGUAAUUACGCUAUGGAGAUCAGCAAAUGUGACAAAUCAAUCAAGACUCUCUUCCCCCAGCCGAGGCUCCAGCCUAUUCACCAGCACAGCACUGUCUGAAUGCCAUGUCAACUGGACCACCCACUCGGAUAUUAGUCAUGUACCAAUUUGUGACAGCUCUUGCUUUUUGAAUGUGGUGAGGUUGGGAGGGCAAGGACCCCUGACCUACACUGCAUCUGAAUCUCCAAAGGAGGAAAGGUCCUGAGGAAUAGUUUGGUCUGUGGUCUUCAUUGUACACAUGGGGAAAAAGAGGACAGAGACCUUCAGGGACUUGGUAAUUCGUUGUGAAGUCAAGGCAGAGAAAGUCUACCAUCUUUUGUCUUCCACCCAUGAUUAAAAUGUAGGCCUUCCUGGCCUUCUUCUUUGUCCUUUUACAGCCCUUUUCUGCAAUUUUGGCACAAAAGAGGGUUUAAAGUGAUUGUUGAAUCAUUCCAAAUAGCUAAUGGCCAAGACCCAAAUUGUCAAUGCUUACUUUCAACAAGGGGCUUUGGGCUGUGAAGUUCUCCAGGAUGAGAUCAUUCCAGAUGGGGUCUUCUUACUGUGGCAGCACUAGGGAGACAGCUGCUGAAAGAGAGGACUUGCUGUCCUUCCAUAGAGAGAUUGAGAUGUUGGAGUGAGUGUUGGCUUCCCUGUGUAUUAUGUCACUUAGAAUCAAACAAGAUGAUAGUUGAACUGCAAGGAGAGCUUGCAGACUAUAAAAAUUGAAAAUACACAGUUUAUGUUUGA
Molecule: long non-coding RNA, 1120 nt
Organism: Mustela lutreola (European mink)
Lineage: Eukaryota; Metazoa; Chordata; Mammalia; Carnivora; Mustelidae
Exons: 2
Source: RefSeq, a predicted model, not a curated record